UUGUUGAGAGUAAUGUGGAUGAGAGUGAUGAUGACUCAUCUGAUGACAUCCAUCCUGAGACUGGCAAGAGAGUGGCUGAAACUGUGUUAAAGACUUCUGCUUAUAAUAAGAAAGCAAAGAUUGCAACGCCAUCAGGUGGGCACAAAACAGGUGAGAAGAUGGGUGCUCAUCCUGCAAACAACUGACCAAAGAUGAAGCUCCCCAACUGCGUUGGGAGCAGCAAUGCUUGCAUGUGUGGUGCGACAAGCCAGGUGUUUGCUAUAUGGUUUUCCAUUGUUGCAUGGUAAAA
Molecule: long non-coding RNA, 289 nt
Organism: Panicum hallii
Lineage: Eukaryota; Viridiplantae; Streptophyta; Magnoliopsida; Poales; Poaceae
Exons: 3
Source: RefSeq, a predicted model, not a curated record